AGUUUGUCGUUUGUGUCCUGGCUCAGAGUGAACGCUGGCGGCGUGCCUAAAUACAUGCAAGUCGAACGAUGAAGCUUCUAGCUCGCUAGAGUGCUGAUUAGUGGCGCACGGGUGAGUAACGCAUAGGUCAUGUGCCUCUUAGUUUGGGAUAGCCAUUGGAAACGAUGAUUAAUACCAGAUACUCCCUACGGGGGAAAGAUUUAUCGCUAAGAGAUCACUAUGUCCUAUCAGCUUUUUGGUAAGGUAAUGGGGCUUACCAAGGCUAUGACGGGUAUCCGGCCUGAGAGGGUGAACGGACACACUGGAACUGAGACACGGUCCAGACUCCUACGGGAGGCAGCAGUAGGGAAUAUUGCUCAAUGGGGGAAACCCUGAAGCAGCAACGCCGCGUGGAGGAUGAAGGUUUUAGGAUUGUAAACUCCUUUUGUUAGAGAAGAUAAUGACGGUAUCGAACGAAUAAGCACCGGCUAACUCCGUGCCAGCAGCCGCGGUAAUACGGAGGGUGCAAGCGUUACUCGGAAUCACGGGUUUCCAUCGUGACUGUACUGUACUGGCUUGGGCGUAAAGAGCGCGUAGGCGGGAUAGUCAGUCAGGUGUGAAAUCCUAUGGCUUAACCAUAGAACUGCAUUUGAAACUACUAUUCUAGAGUGUGGGAGAGGUAGCCCUAAACGAUGGAUGCUAGUUGUUGGAGGGCUUAGUCUCUCCAGUAAUGCAGCUAACGCAUUAAGCAUCCCGCCUGGGGAGUACGGUCGCAAGAUUAAAAUUCAAAGGAAUAGACGGGGACCCGCACAAGCGGUGGAGCAUGUGGUUUAAUUCGAAGAUACACGAAGAACCUUACCUAGGCUUGACAUUGAGAGAAUCCGCUAGAAAUAGUGGAGUGUCUAGCUUGCUAGANNUUGUUUUUCAGGUGCUGCACGGCUGUGUCAGCUCGUGUCGUGAGAUGUUGGGUUAAGUCCCCGGGCGAGCGCAACCCCCUUUCUUAGUUGCUAACAGGUUAUGCUGAGAACUCUAAGGAUACUGCCUCCGUAAGGAGGAGGAAGGUGGGGACGUCGUCAAGUCAUCAUGGCCCUUACGCCUAGGGCUACACACGUGCUACAAUGGGGUGNNNCUUUGAGAAGCAAUACUGUGAAGUGGAGCCAAUCUUCAAAACACCUCUCAGUUCGGAUUGUAGGCUGCAACUCGCCUGCAUGAAGCUGGAAUCGCUAGUAAUCGCAAAUCAGCCAUGUUGCGGUGAAUACGUUCCCGGGUCUUGUACUCACCGCCCGUCACACCAUGGGAGUUGUGUUUGCCUUAAGUCAGGAUGCUAAAUUGGCUGCGUCAAAACUCACACACAGCGACUGGGGUGAAGUCGUAACAAGGUAACCGUACCUGCGGCUGGAUCACCUCCUU
RNAcentral lists this ribosomal RNA (1389 nucleotides) under Helicobacter pylori. RNAcentral describes it as "bacterial SSU rRNA". It matches the Rfam family "Bacterial small subunit ribosomal RNA". The record is from RNAcentral. Lineage: Bacteria; Pseudomonadati; Campylobacterota; Epsilonproteobacteria; Campylobacterales; Helicobacteraceae.